CCUACGGGCGGCAGCAGUGGGGAAUAUUGGACAAUGGGCGAAAGCCUGAUCCAGCCAUGCCGCGUGUGUGAAGAAGGCCUUCGGGUUGUAAAGCACUUUCAGUGGGGAAGAAAGCCUUGGGGCUAAUACCCUCGAGGAAGGACAUCACCCACAGAAGAAGCACCGGCUAACUCCGUGCCAGCAGCCGCGGUAAUACGGAGGGUGCGAGCGUUAAUCGGAAUUACUGGGCGUAAAGCGCGCGUAGGCGGUCUGAUAAGCCGGUUGUGAAAGCCCCGGGCUCAACCUGGGAACGGCAUCCGGAACUGUCAGGCUAGAGUGCAGGAGAGGAAGGUAGAAUUCCCGGUGUAGCAGUGAAAUGCGUAGAGAUCGGGAGGAAUACCAGUGGCGAAGGCGGCCUUCUGGACUGACACUGACGCUGAGGUGCGAAAGCGUGGGUAGCAAACAGGAUUAGAUACCCCUGUAGUC
This 465-nucleotide ribosomal RNA is filed under the name Vreelandella stevensii. RNAcentral describes it as "partial 16S ribosomal RNA". It matches the Rfam family "Bacterial small subunit ribosomal RNA", at positions 338 to 795 of the family's 1533-position model. The record is from RNAcentral. Lineage: Bacteria; Pseudomonadati; Pseudomonadota; Gammaproteobacteria; Oceanospirillales; Halomonadaceae.